GUGUGUGUGUGUGUGUGUGUGUGUUUGUUGUAUAAUCAGAGGGAGGACCCCGCAUUGCCAUACAACUCCAGAGAAAAGCAUUUCUGAAGGAUGAGAAACAAAAAUGUUUGUGGUUCAGUGUUUCUCUGCACUUGUUUUUUUUUUGGGGGGGGGGUUUCAGUGUUUAUUCUGCAACAUUAAGAUGUCUUAACAGUUAUCGCAAAUCAGCACCAUCAGCUGUUACUGAGUGAUGUGAUGUUGAGAUGAGAGUGUUGGGAAAGUUUCUCUAAAGAUAAGUUUCCAAGGGGGUUAUUUGCCGAAAAUAUUUUGACUUGCCCGGUAGAACUCUUUGGGGGAAACAGAGGAGCUCUGGGCCUUUCUUAAGGCUUUGCACUGGGUUGUUUUUUUCGGGUAGACUCACCAGACUCAGCAGCAGCCGUUUGGGUGUUGAAGCUCGGCUGCCAUUUUGGUUCACCUGAAGGAAGCUGGUGUGAAUGAGGAGUAUCGGUGCCUUGACCUUGGUGAUCGCCACGAGCCGUCGGCGUCUGAUGCUUUGACGCGAGUAGAAAAAAAAUACAUUCUGUAAAGGGAUUGGACAAUAACAUGAUGCGGUGUCAUCGGAGAGGUUAUUGAUUUAAACAAAUAUACGGGGCUUUGAAGCACGCGCUCACACACACACACACCCUUGUCCUUGACUGUCUUUGGCUGUCCGUUUAUCUGACUACACUGUAUAAUUACAUCUACUCCAGGAGAGACAGAAAGAGAGGGAAAGGGAGAGAACCGAGGGAGGAAACCAAUAGGUGCAACAUCGUCGUCUUUUAUUUUAGCUCAUUCCAACGCUACAUGUUGCAUUCAUGUUUCUGUUGCGUGUAAGUCAUUUAGCAGGCGCUCUUACACAGAGGGACCUGCGGUACGGAUCUUUGCUUUGUCCUGCUCUUUGCAUUGUCCCCUCUGUGGGAUUCUACAUGUGGGUCUGGGUGUGUUACUGCUGGACCUCGGCUCUGGGAAAGGUAGUUUGGUAUGUCGUCAUAGUCUACUAUACUUGACACUAUUACUGCAACUAACUGCUCAAAAGGAUGCAGACGGGCGCAAGAUGGAUGGAUGGACAGAGAGGGGAGGGAUGGAUGGACAGAGAGGGGAGGGAUGGAUGGAUGGAUGGACGGAGUGGGAUGGAUGGAUGGACAGUGAGGGGAGAGGGAUGGAUGGACAGAGGGGAGAGGGAUGGAUGGACAGAGGGGAGAGGGAUGGAUGGACAGAGGGGAGAGAGAUGGAUGGAUGGACAGAGAGGGGUGAGGGGGUGGAUGGAUGGACAGAGAGGAGUGGAUGGAUGGACAGAGAGGGGUGAGGGAGGGAUGGAUGGACAGAGAGGGGAGAGGGAUGGAUGGAUGGACAGAGAGGGGCAAUGCCAAUGAAGCUCAUUUAAAUUGAGUCAGACAAAGAGGCUGCGAUUGUGUGAAUUUGUAUAUCUAAUCAGGUCAAAUAUGCCGCAACUAGAGUUUUGCAUUUUGGUAAAGGGGCAGAUGAGUGCGUUGUUGUGUUUUGAGGUGGUAAUCCGUUGAACUUUCCGUAGUUCAAUAAUCAAAAUCAAACUGAGAGUUUCUUAUUAUAGCUGAUACCCCAUUCUUCCAUUGAAUCUUAAUUCCCACUACAUUUGUAGUUGUUUUUUGGAAAGACCCUUAAAAAACACACAAAAAAAUGACACUGUGAUUAAAUUAAAAAUGCUGUUUCUGUAGAAUGUGUUUUUGUGCGAUUCCUUGUCAUUUGCAUCCGAAAGUGAAAAUGUGAUUCUCAGCGUGAUUCUGUUACCACGCUCUUGCCCUGGGUGUCCCUGAGUAAGGACACGGCCAUUGAGUCGAAUAAGGAUGAGGAGGAAGAAGGUUGCUUCUAAAGAACGGAGCGAUGACGUGUGGACCCAUUAACUAGAUGAUACCAUGAUCCCUGUUGUUCGGGAAGUUGCCUAGGGACAAAGUCUUUGUGGUGGAUUAUGGGAAAGUAGUUUGCCAGGCAUUCCCAUCCCUGCAGCACCGGCCAUAUCAGACAGGAGCAGGAGCGAUAUCAGGAGAGGGGAAAGAAAAUGAGCGGAGAGGCUGAGUGAGUGUGACUCCACGUUCUCCUUCUUACCAGGAGAGAAAACAUGGUUUUAUUUUUUGGGAUCCCCAUCAACCACAGCAGCAGGUUGACGUGUGAUUGUGUGUGUGUGCGGGGCUGUGUACAUUCCCUGUUUUGCCAUACAAUUUUGUUUGUCACUGUUCUUUUAAGGAUGUUUGAGCUUUGCUAAUUGGAGAUGGAAGAUGUUCCAUUCCAUCUUAACUCUGUCUCAUUUUGUAUGCUACUGCACACUUGUUUUGGACCUGUUUGCUGGGAUGAGACACCAGGAGCUAGGUGUGAAUUUGAGUGUCUUAGCUGUGUGCUAUUUGACUACAAUGGCCAUUUGGAACCCUCAUACAUUUUUAAUUUGUUUAUAAAACCCAAAAAGGAAGCAGUCAAUCUCUUUUUCAGCCCUCAUCCAGGAAAAAAGUAAUGUUACGUUGUUGAUGUUCGUUAUAUCCCAACACACACACUCACUCAAACCCCAGUCCUUGACACUACCCAUACCCAUUCCACAAAAAAAACCUUUUGCCUCCAUACACACAUUUCUGAACCCUGGUCUGCAUUAUUAAUGUCCUUUUAGCAGCCAGACUUCUUCUACGAUCUGUAUCACCUGUCUACUGAACCACACACAUACAGAGUCAUAGGUACUGACACACACACACACAGAGUCAGAGGUACUGACACACACACACAGAGUCAGAGGUACUGACACACACACACAGAGUCAGAGGUACUGACACACACAGACAGUCAGAGGUACUGACACACACAGACAGUCAGAGGUACUGACACACACACAGACAGUCAGAGGUACUGACACACACACAGAGACAGAGGUACUGACACACACACACAGACAGUCAGGUACUGACACACACAGACAGAGACAGAGGUACUGACACAGCCACACAGAGACAGAGGUACUGACACACACAGACAGUCAGAGGUACUGACACACACACACAGACAGUCAGAGGUACUGACACACACACACAGACAGAGACAGAGGUACUGACACACACACACAGACAGAGACAGAGGUACUGACACACACACACAGACACAGACAGAGGUACUGACACACACAGACACACACAGACAGAGGUACUGACACACACAGACACACCGGUGUGAGUCAGUUAAAUAUCAAGGUCUGUUUUCCGGGUUUCUUAGUCGUUGAUGUUGCUGGGAUGAGUCAUUGUUAUAGCUAGCCUAGCGAUGGCUAAUGGGAGAACAGUCCAGGUGAAAGGGGGGAAAGAUGUGGCCGGGGGGGGGUUUCUUUUUAUUCUAGAAACAUUUCUAAUAUUACAUCUUCGUUUUUUUGUGUAUCCCAUACGCGUGGCUCUUUGGGUGUCCAUGUAGACAGUUCAAUGAAUUUGGGACUAGGAUCGGUCUUGGUACUGUAUAAACCCCUACUGCUACCACACUGGUCUUGGUACUGUAUAAACCCCUACUGCUACCA
Molecule: long non-coding RNA, 3532 nt
Organism: Esox lucius (northern pike)
Lineage: Eukaryota; Metazoa; Chordata; Actinopteri; Esociformes; Esocidae
Source: Ensembl